CAAUAAGAGAAAAUAAUACUCACUUUUGGCUUACAAGACCAAUGCUCUAAAUUUAAGCUAUUAUUGC
This 67-nucleotide transfer RNA is filed under the name Aeneator benthicolus. RNAcentral describes it as "tRNA-Thr". Lineage: Eukaryota; Metazoa; Mollusca; Gastropoda; Neogastropoda; Buccinidae. The record is from RNAcentral.